RNAcentral lists this ribosomal RNA (293 nucleotides) under uncultured bacterium. Its description in RNAcentral is "partial 16S ribosomal RNA". It matches the Rfam family "Archaeal small subunit ribosomal RNA", at positions 455 to 747 of the family's 1478-position model. The record is from RNAcentral.
GUGCCAGCAGCCGCGGUAAUACCGGCAGCUCAAGUGAUGGCCACUCUUAUUGGGCCUAAAGCGUCCGUAGCUGGCCGCGCAAGUCCGUCGGGAAAUCCAUCAGCCCAACUGAUGGGCGUCCGGCGGAAACUGCACGGCUUGGGACCGGAAAGCUCGAGAGGUACGUCCGGGGUAGGAGUGAAAUCCCGUAAUCCCGGACGGACUACCGAUGGCGAAAGCACUCUGAGAAGACGGCUUCGACAGUGAGGGACGAAAGCUCGGGUCUCAAACCGGAUUAGAUACCCUAGUAGUCC